UCGGUAACAUGGAAGCAGUGAAGCGUGACAGUGUCCAUUUAGCGUUAUUUCGAGUGUCGAGAAAAAUAAUAAAGCCUCCCAGGUUUUAUGCUAAGAUAAAAAUAACAAAACAGUAGACAACUUGAAGAAGAGACGAAGACGGCUCGUAAUUUAAUUUUAAGAAUGGAAACCGAGAAUCACGCCGGAAGAAACAAGUCAGAUAAAUGGAUAAACCUGCAGUUGGACCAGUCACAGCUCUUUUUUUGCACUGACACAUCACAGCCCGUUCUCUCCCUGUCCUCAUCAGGCUUCAUGCUGGAGGCUGAAGAGAGCCAUUGGUAACGGGGCCCAGGGCCCGAGGCCAGAGGGGUGCGGUGAGUCACAGGAUAAAUCGGACUCGACCUCUCUGCGAA
Molecule: long non-coding RNA, 392 nt
Organism: Anguilla anguilla (European eel)
Lineage: Eukaryota; Metazoa; Chordata; Actinopteri; Anguilliformes; Anguillidae
Exons: 4
Source: RefSeq, a predicted model, not a curated record